Danaus plexippus (monarch butterfly) is the source of this 263-nucleotide long non-coding RNA. RefSeq lists it as uncharacterized. NCBI's taxonomy places the organism in Eukaryota, Metazoa, Arthropoda, Insecta, Lepidoptera, Nymphalidae. The transcript is spliced from 2 exons. The record is from RefSeq and is a predicted model, not a curated record.
AGCAAGAGAGAACACAUCACCAGGCAGGUGCAGAGCACGCACCGCCUGCCAGAAUGGCCGUAUCGGCGCAAGCAGCUUCAACGACGGAUGCAACAUGAAAAUAACUGGCACCAAUUAUUAUAACACCUUAUUGGUCGUCGUUACUAUUGUUAAAAGGACUGCAGAGUUCAGCGAGUGCGGAGCAUAAAGAACCUUCGAGAAAUACAAGAACAUUUAGAAGAAUUGAAGUUUCAUUUUAAAAUAUCUGGAACUUACUGAAACAA